CCCUUAGAUGUUCUGGGCCGCACGCGCGCUACACUGAUGCAUUCAACGAGUCCAACCUUGACCGAGAGGUCCGGGUAAUCUUUGAAACUGCAUCGUGAUGGGGCUAGAUUAUUGCAAUUAUUAAUCUUCAACGAGGAAUGCCUAGUAAGCGUGAUUCAUCAAAUCGCGUUGAUUACGUCCCUGCCCUUUGUACACACCGCCCGUCGCUCCUACCGAUUGAGUGUGUUGGUGAGGAGCUUGGAUUGGCCUCGGAAGGUGGUUCGCCACCGUCCGUAGCUGAGAAGUUCUCCAAACCGCCCCACUUAGAGGAAGGAGAAGUCGUAACA
Molecule: ribosomal RNA, 326 nt
Filed under: uncultured eukaryote
Lineage: Eukaryota
Description: partial 18S ribosomal RNA
Rfam family: Eukaryotic small subunit ribosomal RNA
Source: RNAcentral